GGUUGUAGCUCAGUGGUAGAAAACUUGCCUAGUAGGUAUGAGGCCCUGGGUUCAAUCCCAGCACCA
RNAcentral lists this transfer RNA (66 nucleotides) under Marmota monax (woodchuck). Its description in RNAcentral is "tRNA.Thr". Lineage: Eukaryota; Metazoa; Chordata; Mammalia; Rodentia; Sciuridae. The record is from RNAcentral.